Molecule: antisense RNA, 75 nt
Filed under: Streptomyces malaysiense
Lineage: Bacteria; Bacillati; Actinomycetota; Actinomycetes; Kitasatosporales; Streptomycetaceae
Description: ASpks TB sRNA
Rfam family: ASpks TB sRNA
Source: Rfam by way of RNAcentral
CUUGACCGAGCCGAGCCACAGCGGCCGGCCGGGCGGACGCGACUGCCCGUAGGCGGCCAGCAGGGCCUGCGCCUC